GGCUCUGUGGCACAAUGGAUAGCGCAUUGGACUUCUAAUUCGAAGGUUGUGGGUUCGAGUCCCACCAGAGUCG
This 73-nucleotide transfer RNA is filed under the name Xenopus tropicalis (tropical clawed frog). RNAcentral's name for it is "tRNA-Arg (TCT) (tRNA-Arg-TCT-35-1)". It matches the Rfam family "tRNA". Rfam says of the family: Transfer RNA (tRNA) molecules are approximately 80 nucleotides in length. Their secondary structure includes four short double-helical elements and three loops (D, anti-codon, and T loops). Lineage: Eukaryota; Metazoa; Chordata; Amphibia; Anura; Pipidae. The record is from RNAcentral.